AGAGUUUGAUCCUGGCUCAGAACGAACGCUGGCGGCGUGGAUAAGACAUGCAAGUCGAACGCGAUUUAUCGAGUUAGCAAUAACUUGGUAAAUUGAGUGGCGAAAGGGUGCGUAACACGUGGGAAAUUACCAAGAAGUGGGGGAUAGCUCGGCGAAAGCCGAAUUAAUACCGCAUAUGAUCGCAAGAUCAAAGCCGGGGACCGCAAGGCCUGGCGCUUUUUGAGAUGCCCGCGGCCCAUCAGCUAGUUGGCGAGGUAAAAGCUCACCAAGGCUAUGACGGGUAGCUGGUCUGAGAGGACGACCAGCCACACUGGAACUGAGACACGGUCCAGACACCUACGGGUGGCAGCAGUCGAGAAUUUUUCACAAUGGGGGAAACCCUGAUGGAGCGACGCCGCGUGGAGGAUGAAGGUUUUCGGAUUGUAAACUCCUGUCACUGCAGAACAAGGGUGUGUUUGUGAAUAGCAAGCGCAUUUGAUGGUAUGCGGAGAGGAAGGGACGGCUAACUCUGUGCCAGCAGCCGCGGUAAGACAGAGGUCCCGAGCGUUGUUCGGAUUCAUUGGGCGUAAAGGGUGUGUAGGAGGUCGGGUAAGUCAGGUGUGAAAUCUCAGAGCUUAACUCUGAAACUGCGCUUGAUACUGCCCGGCUAGAGGAUCGGAGGGGGUAUCGGAAUUCAUGGUGUAGCAGUGAAAUGCGUAGAUAUCAUGAGGAACACCGGUGGCGAAGGCGGAUACCUGGAAGAUUCCUGACUCUGAAACACGAAAGCCAGGGGAGCAAACGGGAUUAGAUACCCUAGUAGUCC
RNAcentral lists this ribosomal RNA (802 nucleotides) under uncultured bacterium. RNAcentral's name for it is "bacterial SSU rRNA". It matches the Rfam family "Bacterial small subunit ribosomal RNA", at positions 8 to 796 of the family's 1533-position model. The record is from RNAcentral.